Molecule: long non-coding RNA, 870 nt
Organism: Dreissena polymorpha
Lineage: Eukaryota; Metazoa; Mollusca; Bivalvia; Myida; Dreissenidae
Exons: 2
Source: RefSeq, a predicted model, not a curated record
GUAAACUUCACAGCUCAGAAAAUAAUCACCGGCAUUGCAACGCGUGGCAGACCCAAAACCCCGCGUCAGCUUCCCCAAUGGGUGACGCAGUACCGCUUCAUGUACAGCAGAGACUGUGUGAUCUUCAACACGUACACGCACAAGAAUAGAUCAGACAUGAUGUUUUCUGCAAAUGUGGACGGAGACAGGAUUAGACUAAAUUUCCUGCCUUACCCUGUACUAGCCCGGUGUGCCAGAGUAAAUCCGACAGAUUGGCAUGACUGGAUCUCCAUGGCAUUUGAAAUCAAAGGUUGCGACUGAUCUUUAUUCACGGAUUUGUAAAUGUUUGGCAAAUUCAGAGACAAUGACAAACAACUAAUUUUCCAGCAUCAAUCCGAAAAUAAAGGAACACUCCACGUGUAUAAUUAUAUAUCCAUGUAUUGAUUGAUUUGAAAAGUGUAUAUAUUACUAUAUUAUUAAUCAGCUAUACUUUUGCUUUGGAUUUAACUGACCAAGUUAUUUAAAAGUAUAUUCGUAAAGAAUCAUAAGUAAUGCAGAUAUUGCAUUUGUGAUAUGGAUAACACGUUCAACUAGCGAGAUAUUAAUCAAUUACAACUAUUUUUUGAGAGGUGUUGGACCUGUUAUAGAUUAAUUGGAAUUGAACACGAAAAAAUAAUGCGAAACGGUCCAUAAUUCUAGUUGAUUAUGUUCUCCACAAUCAGCGGAACGCUUUUUCACGGGAGGCGUGCGACUGACUUGGAUCGCUUAUGUUGGUUAUGGGAGACAUCAACAUUUUUUCUAUUAAUUGUUAAAGCACUGUAUACUUAACAUGAGCCUUAACUAUAUGAUGCUAUAUUCUUUAAUCUUUUUGUAAAAAGAAGGUAUGUAGUU